AUCGCUUCUCGGCCUUUUGGCUAAGAUCAAGUGUAAAUUGAUGUCAUUAUUUCCCUGAAAUAUAUUUUUAAAAGUAUCUCCUUUUUUGAACUAGUACUGGAGACUUUAUCUUUCAGUAAGGUAAUAAAAUU
RNAcentral lists this small nuclear RNA (131 nucleotides) under Rhinolophus ferrumequinum (greater horseshoe bat). RNAcentral describes it as "U2 spliceosomal RNA (ENSRFEG00010001323.1)". It matches the Rfam family "U2 spliceosomal RNA". Rfam says of the family: U2 is a small nuclear RNA (snRNA) component of the spliceosome (involved in pre-mRNA splicing). Lineage: Eukaryota; Metazoa; Chordata; Mammalia; Chiroptera; Rhinolophidae. The record is from RNAcentral.